This 225-nucleotide long non-coding RNA is filed under the name Mytilus galloprovincialis (Mediterranean mussel). The record is from RNAcentral. Lineage: Eukaryota; Metazoa; Mollusca; Bivalvia; Mytilida; Mytilidae.
GUGGUUUCACCAUUAUUUAAUAUGGUUGUGUCAUUAGUCAAUGUGGUUUUAACAUUACUUGAUGUGUAUGUGACUUAACGUAAUGUAAUUGUUUCAUUACAUGAUGUGAUUUUGUUAUUUCGUAAUGAUGAUUUGUCUAUUCUUUAUAUGGUUUUAACAUUACGUAAUGAUGUUUCAAAAUUUGACCAUUUUACACUACUUGAUGUGUUUGUUUCAUUAUUUGAU